AUACGGAGGGUGCAAGCGUUGUUCGGAAUCACUGGGCGUAAAGGGCGCGCAGGCGGUUUGGUAAGUCAGAUGUGGAAGCCCACGGCUCAACCGUGGAAGUGCAUUUGAAACUGCCAGACUUGAGUACCAGAGGGGAAAGUGGAAUUCCCGGUGUAGAGGUGAAAUUCGUAGAUAUCGGGAGGAAUACCGGUGGCGAAGGCGACUUUCUGGCUGGAUACUGACGCUGAGGCGCGAAAGCGUGGGGAGCAAACAGGAUUAGAAACCCUUGUAGUCC
RNAcentral lists this ribosomal RNA (274 nucleotides) under uncultured bacterium. RNAcentral describes it as "partial 16S ribosomal RNA". It matches the Rfam family "Bacterial small subunit ribosomal RNA", at positions 523 to 796 of the family's 1533-position model. The record is from RNAcentral.